RNAcentral lists this ribosomal RNA (497 nucleotides) under uncultured bacterium. RNAcentral's name for it is "partial 16S ribosomal RNA". It matches the Rfam family "Bacterial small subunit ribosomal RNA", at positions 28 to 507 of the family's 1533-position model. The record is from RNAcentral.
GAUGAACGCUGGCGGCGUGCCUAAUACAUGCAAGUCGAGCGAACAGACGAGGAGCUUGCUCUUCUGACGUUAGCGGCGGACGGGUGAGUAACACGUAGAUAACCUACCUAUAAGACUGGGAUAACUUCGGGAAACCGGAGCUAAUACCGGAUAAUAUAUUGAACCGCAUGGUUCAUUAGUGAAAGACGGAUUUGCUGUCCCUCAUAGAUGGAUCCGCGCCGCAUUAGCAAGUUGGGAAGGUAACGGCUUACCAAGGCAACGAUGCGUAGCCGACCUGAGAGGGUGAUCGGCCACACUGGAACUGAGACACGGUCCAGACUCCUACGGGAGGCAGCAGUAGGGAAUCUUCCGCAAUGGGCGAAAGCCUGACGGAGCAACGCCGCGUGAGUGAUGAAGGUCUUCGGAUCGUAAAACUCUGUUAUUAGGGAAGAACAAAUGUGUAAGUAACUAUGCACGUCUUGACGGUACCUAAUCAGAAAGCCACGGCUAACUACGUG